GGAAAACGCCUGACAGCCUAUUUAAGAGGCGGUAUCAUUGGACAGAGAGUGCAGACUGUUCUUCUGCAAAACACUGACGUCUGUGACUGCAGACCCUGACUGGCAGGUGCUCGUGACAGUUGUUCUGUGCACAAGCAGCUCUUCUGUGACCAUGGGGGAGAAAGAAGCGUGCUUAUUUUCACCUGUUGCUCCUGCAGGGACCUGGAUUAAACAUUUGUUGUCCACUCACUUUACACCUAAACACUCACUGGAGGAAGGAGCCCAAAGUGACCACUGGUCAUCUCACCCAUUUUGCACCAGAAAAAGACUUGUGGUGGCCCUUCUGCUCAUUUUGGCCUUGGUUGUCAUGACGCUGCUUCUGCUGCUGAAUUAUUAUUGUAUUAUGGUCUGGCACCUGUGUCAACAGGAGGAGCCUUAUCCCCCAAUAUUUGGCACGACGCCAAAUCUGGAACAGCAGGACUGAGAUGCUACAUGUUUGAUUGUUUGUGUUCUAGUGUUCAGUGCGUCCAUCUGGGAUGCAUGCUGCUGUGUUUUUGGUUUGAUGAACUGAAAUAACACUGAACAUGUUCAGUACAUAUUUGUGAUUUAUUAAGGAAAUCAUUUACACUGUCAAGUUACUCAGUUCCUGAGGUUUUAGUUUUGUAUUUAUUUACUGAUUUAUUUACUGUAGGUUUGCCAUUGACAAUUAUGCCUAUUUAAGUUUUCUCUAUUUGUCCUAUUUAACAUUGUUAAUCUUUAUCUAGUGGUGCUAGUUAAAUGUAGCUAAACACUGUUCAUAAAACAGUUCUUGUUAAAGCUUCGAGAAUCUUUAAACCUCUUUUCAGAAAUGUUUUCAAUAUCAUCUGCAGGUUUAUACAAACAUAAACAGAUCCAUGCUUUUUACAGAUCACGCUGUAUUGUAUAUACAAAAAACAAUGUACAACUUGAUGACUUCACGUUAACCUUUGGCAUACUUUUGACUACUUAAUAAACAACUUCACCUUUGGCACACUU
This 993-nucleotide long non-coding RNA is filed under the name Danio rerio (zebrafish). Its description in RNAcentral is "si:dkey-184p9.7 (si:dkey-184p9.7)". The record is from RNAcentral. Lineage: Eukaryota; Metazoa; Chordata; Actinopteri; Cypriniformes; Danionidae.